RNAcentral lists this ribosomal RNA (462 nucleotides) under uncultured bacterium. RNAcentral's name for it is "partial 16S ribosomal RNA". It matches the Rfam family "Bacterial small subunit ribosomal RNA", at positions 28 to 507 of the family's 1533-position model. The record is from RNAcentral.
GAUAAACGCUGGCGGCGUGCUUAACACAUGCAAGUCGAACGAAGUUUUUCUUUCGGGAGGAACUUAGUGGCGGACGGGCGGGUAACGCGUGGGUAACCUGCCCUGUACAGGGGGACAACAGCUGGAAACGGCUGCUAAUACCGCAUAAGCCCUUCGCACUGCAUGGUGCAGAGGGAAAAGGAGCAAUCCGGUACAGGAUGGACCCGCGUCUGAUUAGCCAGUUGGCAGGGUAACGGCCUACCAAAGCGACGACCAGUAGCCGAUCUGAGAGGAGGUACGGCCACAUUGGGACUGAGACGCGGCCCAGACUCCUACGGGAUGCAGCAGUGGGUAAUAUUGCACAAUGGAGGAAGCUCUGAUGCAGCGACGCCGCGUGAGUGAAGAAGUAGUUCGAUAUGUAAAGCUCUAUCAGCAGGAAAGAAAAUGACGGUACCUGACUAAGAAGCACCGGCUAAAUACGUG